ACGGCUUGGGUAGGCUGCUCGGUUCUCACCGCGCAGUCAAACGCAACCCUGACGCAACGUUUAGUUAGAAUUUAGUGAAGAUGGUGAUUUGUAAGCCGUUUCUCUGAUCUCUACGAAGCUGUUGGGUUUAAUUGUUUUCGUACAGUUUAAAAAACGAAAUAAUGUAUGUCAGGGAGCCUACCCCCAAUUUUAUAAGUCCAAUUAAAAAACAAUAAUCUUCCCACAGGAAAUUGUUUUAUCAUAGGCCAAUCAAAAGAAGAUUAACUUUUUUU
This 272-nucleotide non-coding RNA is filed under the name Polistes canadensis. The record is from RNAcentral. Lineage: Eukaryota; Metazoa; Arthropoda; Insecta; Hymenoptera; Vespidae.